This 428-nucleotide ribosomal RNA is filed under the name bacterium enrichment culture clone ALO1_GLFRUDD03GXNFZ. RNAcentral's name for it is "bacterial SSU rRNA". It matches the Rfam family "Bacterial small subunit ribosomal RNA", at positions 9 to 441 of the family's 1533-position model. The record is from RNAcentral.
GAGUUUGAUCCUGGCUCAGAUUGAACGCUGGCGGCAUGCCUUACACAUGCAAGUCGAACGGCAGCACGGGAGCUUGCUCCUGGUGGCGAGUGGCGAACGGGUGAGUAAUGCAUCGGAACGUAUCCUGGAGUGGGGGAUAACGUAGCGAAAGUUACGCUAAUACCGCAUAUUCUGUGAGCAGGAAAGCGGGGGACCUUCGGGCCUCGCGCUCUUGGAGCGGCCGAUGUCGGAUUAGCUAGUUGGUGAGGUAAAGGCUCACCAAGGCGACGAUCCGUAGCAGGUCUGAGAGGAUGAUCUGCCACACCUGGAACUGAGACACGGUCAGACUCCUACGGGAGGCAGCAGUGGGAUUUGGACAAUGGCGAAAGCCUGAUCCAGCCAUGCCGCGUGUGUGAAGAAGGUCUUCGGAUUGUAAAGCACUUUAAGUU